GACGAACGCUGGCGGCGUGCUUAACACAUGCAAGUCGAACGGAAAGGCCCUGCUUUUGUGGGGUGCUCGAGUGGCGAACGGGUGAGUAACACGUGAGUAACCUGCCCUUGACUUUGGGAUAACUUCAGGAAACUGGGGCUAAUACCGGAUAGGAGCUCCUGCUGCAUGGUGAGGGUUGGAAAGUUUCGGCGGUUGGGGUUGGACUCGCGGCUUAUCAGCUUGUUGGUGGGGUAGUGGCUUACCAAGGCUUUGACGGGUAGCCGGCCUGAGAGGGUGACCGGCCACAUUGGGACUGAGAUACGGCCCAGACUCCUACGGGAGGCAGCAGUGGGGAAUAUUGCACAAUGGGCGGAAGCCUGAUGCAGCAACGCCGCGUGCGGGAUGACGGCCUUCGGGUUGUAAACCGCUUUCGCCCGUGACGAAGCGUGAGUGACGGUAAUGGGUAAAGAAGCACCGGCUAACUACGUGCCAGCAGCCGCGGUGAUACGUAGGGUGCGAGCGUUGUCCGGAUUUAUUGGGCGUAAAGGGCUCGUAGGUGGUUGAUCGCGUCGGAAGUGUAAUCUUGGGGCUUAACCCUGAGCGUGCUUUCGAUACGGGUUGACUUGAGGAAGGUAGGGGAGAAUGGAAUUCCUGGUGGAGCGGUGGAAUGCGCAGAUAUCAGGAGGAACACCAGUGGCGAAGGCGGUUCUCUGGGCCUUUCCUGACGCUGAGGAGCGAAAGCGUGGGGAGCGAACAGGCUUAGAUACCCUGGUAGUCCACGCUGUAAACGGUGGGUACUAGGUGUGGGGUCCAUUCCACGGGUUCCGUGCCGUAGCUAACGCUUUAAGUACCCCGCCUGGGGAGUACGGCCGCAAGGCUAAAACUCAAAGGAAUUGACGGGGCCCCGCACAAGCGGCGGAGCAUGCGGAUUAAUUCGAUGCAACGCGUAGAACCUUACCUGGGUUUGACAUGGAUCGGGAGUGCUCAGAGAUGGGUGUGCCUCUUUUGGGGUCGGUUCACAGGUGGUGCAUGGCUGUCGUCAGCUCGUGUCGUGAGAUGUUGGGUUAAGUCCCGCAACGAGCGCAACCCUUGUUCACUGUUGCCAGCACGUUAUGGUGGGGACUCAGUGGAGACCGCCGGGGUCAACUCGGAGGAAGGUGGGGAUGACGUCAAGUCAUCAUGCCCCUUAUGUCCAGGGCUUCACGCAUGCUACAAUGGCUGGUACAGAGAGUGGCGAGCCUGUGAGGGUGAGCGAAUCUCGGAAAGCCGGUCUCAGUUCGGAUUGGGGUCUGCAACUCGACCUCAUAAAGUCGGAGUCGCUAGUAAUCGCAGAUCAGCAACGCUGCGGUGAAUACGUUCCCGGG
Molecule: ribosomal RNA, 1343 nt
Filed under: uncultured bacterium
Lineage: Bacteria
Description: 16S ribosomal RNA
Rfam family: Bacterial small subunit ribosomal RNA
Source: RNAcentral